Molecule: long non-coding RNA, 305 nt
Filed under: Arachis ipaensis
Lineage: Eukaryota; Viridiplantae; Streptophyta; Magnoliopsida; Fabales; Fabaceae
Description: long non-coding RNA (AIPA_LNC001881)
Source: RNAcentral
AACAGCAUAACUAGCCCCUAACUCAGCCUGUGAAGCUAAGGCUGGCCGGAGGAUAUAUAUAUAUAUAUAUAUACAUAUAAACAUACUUAAGUAUCCCCAAAAUACACCAAAACAUCAAAGUAAACUCCUAACUCUCCCUAAUCCUUUAAGAGGAGCAGCAUACAUAAGUUACUUGGAGAGUAAGCUAAACAAAUAUAUACAUAUAUACAACCAAAAACCAAAAUACACCUAAGGACUACUUUGCUUCCCAAGAUCCAGACGUCUAGCGAGGAGCCUCUCGACCUGCAUCUGAAAAACAACAAUAC